This 74-nucleotide transfer RNA is filed under the name Sphaerodactylus townsendi. RNAcentral describes it as "tRNA-Ala". The record is from RNAcentral. Lineage: Eukaryota; Metazoa; Chordata; Lepidosauria; Squamata; Sphaerodactylidae.
GCAAGUGUGUCUCAGUGGUAGAGUAUCUGCUUGGCAUGCAGAAGUUCCCAAGUUCAGUCCCCAGCAUCUCUGUU